GAUGAACGCUGACAGAAUGCUUAACACAUGCAAGUCAACUUGAAUUUGGGUUUUUAACUUAGGUUUGGGUGGCGGACGGGUGAGUAACGCGUAAAGAACUUGCCUCACAGCUAGGGACAACAUUUGGAAACGAAUGCUAAUACCUAAUAUUAUGAUAAUAGGGCAUCCUAUAAUUAUGAAAGCUAUAAGCGCUGUGAGAGAGCUUUGCGUCCCAUUAGCUAGUUGGAGAGGUAACGGCUCACCAAGGCGAUGAUGGGUAGCCGGCCUGAGAGGGUGAUCGGCCACAAGGGGACUGAGACGCGGCCCUUACUCCUACGGGAAGCAGCAGUGGGGAAUAUUGGACAAUGGACCAAGAGUCUGAUCCAGCAAUUCGGUGUGCACGAUGAAGUUUUUCGGAAUGUAAAGUGCUUUCAGUUGGGAAGAAAGAAAUGACGGUACCAACAGAAGAAGUGCCGGCUACAUACGU
This 466-nucleotide ribosomal RNA is filed under the name uncultured bacterium. RNAcentral's name for it is "partial 16S ribosomal RNA". It matches the Rfam family "Bacterial small subunit ribosomal RNA", at positions 28 to 506 of the family's 1533-position model. The record is from RNAcentral.